This is a non-coding RNA of Coturnix japonica (Japanese quail), 2207 nucleotides long. NCBI's taxonomy places the organism in Eukaryota, Metazoa, Chordata, Aves, Galliformes, Phasianidae. The record is from RefSeq and is a predicted model, not a curated record.
AUCUCUUUCUGGAGAUCCCUCCUUGGUGAAGCUUUCCCUUGUGAACCUGCCAUCUUCUGGUACAGCAGCAGCAAGGCCCUUCUUUGGCUGUGGCCAGCUGCUGUAGCCAGGAGAUAGAUCCCAGGUCCACGUAGCACCCUACCCUCUUGCUUUCAGCAGCACAAAUGGAGCCAGGAUGCGACACCUCCCAAAACGCAGCCCUUGAAUAUCUCCUUUCCAGAAACUUCUUCCUGCUGGCUUAUGCAACGAGUUGUUUCCAUGAUCAUGGGUAUAUGUGCAAGGGAGAAGGAGAGCAAAAAGAAAUAUUUAGCGUGACGUAGCAAUGGCUGAGCUGGGCCCAGGCUCCUGCUGCUGUUCCUGUAUGCUUCCUGUGGACUCCAUUGGGGUGGGCAGUGAGCUCAUCCCAUCCGUGCUCCAUGUCACUGCCAUCUCUCCUUCCUCCAGCGGCCACUGUUGUUCCAUGGGGAAAGGUGGUAGUGAAGGCGUGUGUUCCCCAGCUGAAGCUCAACGCACCUUUUUGACAUCAAGGGAUGGCCCUGAGCCAAGAGAGCCAGGGAAGAGGUGGAUGAGCAGCGAGGAGGAGCUGCACUUCCAGGCUGUGGUCUGCAGGCUGUCCAGAUGCCAGGGCUCCUCAUGCAGCUGCUUGGGCUGCGCAGGAGUGGCUGUGGCACAGGGCUGUCCCACCCUGACUGCUUUGCUCUGCCUCGGGAAUUCCAUGGUCUUUGUGAUUGCCUUAAUGCCUGAGGAAGGAUAAGAGAUAAGAGGAACAGGAGGAGGCAGCACAGCAGGAUUCUACCUAUAAGCCCAGCAGCAGAGACUCUGUACUGGCAGCCCAGUGGGUAGGAGGGCUUCAGGACCAAUCUGACUGUUUAGGGGCAGCCUCUUUAUUCAUUGUUUCAAUGCUUUUUGGAAGCAAUGCAAUCCAAUCAGCCCAUCCACCCAACUGAGCACUGAAGCCUCUGUCCCAGAGUCUCCUCUGCUCCUGGCUGGGAAAAGGAAAGGAGGGAGGAAGUGCUUCUGCCAACCCCUUACAGACUAGAAGCAGCAGCACAGUGCUAUGAUCCCUGCAUGCACCCUGCCCUGUAUCAAACCCAGUGGAGCAGGAGCAAGGUGGGCACAGUGCUGCUCACACACUCCCACAGCAGCACCUCUGAGCCAGGGAAGACUUCUUAUUCCAAUGCAGCUGCCAAGCCAGGGAGCUGUUACACUUCUGCAAACUGAGGAGCCAAGCAGUGCAGUGCCUGCUCAGAUUUACUGACUCCAUCACUCACGUUCCCCACAGGGGCCAAUAAGGCUCCGCAGCUGCACGCCGGCACUGAGUGCUGGCUGUAUGCUGUGAUUUACUGUGCUCUUCUCCCCAUGCCUUGUGCACCUUCAGAGUGCUGACAUGAGUGUGGGCUGAUUGGGUUAUUUAUUUAAUUCUGUAUUUACGAGGACAAUGAACUUCCAGUCCCCACAAGCUUCAUGCUGCUUUUCUUCUCCCCCUAUUUUGUUUUUCUUGGCUCUUCUAAAAGGAAAAUCGGGAUGUAUUUUACUUUGGAGAAAUGACAUUGGCAUCAGCCUUGUCUGAGAAGGCCUCUUUGUGCUGGAAAAUGAGUAAAUAAACCACUCACUACAGCUUUCCCAGAAGAGAUUAACAUUGCUCUGUGCUGAACAUAGCACCUCUGGACGGGAAUGGGAACACACCAAAGGGACGUACUUGACCCAGACGUUCUGGAGUUUGUCUGCUCUGAUCAUUGCUCAAUUCUACUUUACCUUCUCUGCUGUGGCAAAAUUUCAGAGCUUGAUUUAUCAAGGAAUUCAAGCACUGCUGAGCUGGGUUUCAAUCCCUUUGUGCAGUACGAGAGUUUAAUGAUUCCCAAAGGUAUGAGCUUGUUGCUUUGUUUUAACCAAAUAUCUACGCAUAACAAAAGAUAUGCAAGCAAUAUGUUUAAAGCGGGGAGCAGCAUUUUUCAGCUAAUCAUGGCAUUUGGUUUUCACUCUGGUGGUGCACAGGACUCCUGAACAUGUGCUGGAUAACGCAAGUUAUCCAGAAAGCCGUAUGCACUGCUGUGAAUUAUUUUGCUUAUUUUUUGCAUUAUGUUAGCUGAGAGCUUGAUGUAAAUUCUCAUAUCCACUUGUUAGUCAGAAUGAUCCCCAAAUCCUUCCCAUGCACAGUAUUUCAAACCACAGCCUCUUAGAACUGCAAAUUCAUUUCUAUAUUUAUA